UACGGAGGAUGCGAGCGUUAUCCGGAGUUAUUGGGUUUAAAGGGUGCGUAGGCGGAUCGUUAAGUCAGUGGUCAAAUUGAGGGGCUCAACCCCUUCCCGCCAUUGAAACUGGCGAUCUUGAGUGGAAGAGAAGUAUGCGGAAUGCGUGGUGUAGCGGUGAAAUGCAUAGAUAUCACGCAGAACCCCGAUUGCGAAGGCAGCAUGCCGGCUUCCUACUGACGCUGAAGCACGAAAGCGUGGGGAUCGAACAGG
This 252-nucleotide ribosomal RNA is filed under the name uncultured bacterium. Its description in RNAcentral is "partial 16S ribosomal RNA". It matches the Rfam family "Bacterial small subunit ribosomal RNA", at positions 524 to 776 of the family's 1533-position model. The record is from RNAcentral.